Molecule: transfer RNA, 73 nt
Filed under: Camelus bactrianus (Bactrian camel)
Lineage: Eukaryota; Metazoa; Chordata; Mammalia; Artiodactyla; Camelidae
Also listed under: 2 other names
Rfam family: tRNA
About the family: Transfer RNA (tRNA) molecules are approximately 80 nucleotides in length. Their secondary structure includes four short double-helical elements and three loops (D, anti-codon, and T loops).
Source: Rfam by way of RNAcentral
GGUGAUGUAGCUCAGUGGUAGAGUGCCGUGCUUAGCAUGUGGGAGGUCCUGGGUUCAAUUCUCAGGACCUCCA